UACGAAGGGGGCUAGCGUUGUUCGGAUUUACUGGGCGUAAAGCGCACGUAGGCGGAUUUUUAAGUCAGGGGUGAAAUCCCGGGGCUCAACCCCGGAACUGCCUUUGAUACUGGAAGUCUUGAGUAUGGAAGAGGUAAGUGGAAUUGCGAGUGUAGAGGUGAAAUUCGUAGAUAUUCGCAGGAACACCAGUGGCGAAGGCGGCUUACUGGUCCAUUACUGACGCUGAGGUGCGAAAGCGUGGGGAGCAAACAGG
This 253-nucleotide ribosomal RNA is filed under the name uncultured bacterium. RNAcentral's name for it is "partial 16S ribosomal RNA". It matches the Rfam family "Bacterial small subunit ribosomal RNA", at positions 524 to 776 of the family's 1533-position model. The record is from RNAcentral.